AUUGAACGCUAGCGGGAGGCUUAACACAUGCAAGUCGAGGGGUACGGUAGCAAUACUGGAGACCGGCGCACGGGUGAGUAACGCGUAUGCAACCUGCCCUUUACAGGGGGAUAGCCCGUCGAAAGGCGGAUUAAUACCCCAUAAGAUAGUACCCUCGCAUGAGGGAGCUAAUAAAGCUUUGGCGGUAAAGGAUGGGCAUGCGUGACAUUAGCUAGUUGGUAGGGUAACGGCCUACCAAGGCUACGAUGUCUAGGGGUUCUGAGAGGAAGGUCCCCCACACUGGUACUGAGACACGGACCAGACUCCUACGGGAGGCAGCAGUGAGGAAUAUUGGUCAAUGGGCGCGAGCCUGAACCAGCCAUCCCGCGUGCAGGAAGACGGCCCUAUGGGUUGUAAACUGCUUUUGUGCAGGAAGAAUGUGCCCAUCGUGAUGGGUAGUGACGGUACUGCAUGAAUAAGCACCGGCUAACUCCGUGCCAGCAGCCGCGGUAAU
Molecule: ribosomal RNA, 493 nt
Filed under: uncultured bacterium
Lineage: Bacteria
Description: bacterial SSU rRNA
Rfam family: Bacterial small subunit ribosomal RNA
Source: RNAcentral